UACGGAGGGGGCUAGCGUUGCUCGGAAUUACUGGGCGUAAAGCGCACGUAGGCGGCUUUGUAAGUUAGAGGUGAAAGCCCGGGGCUCAACUCCGGAAUUGCCUUUAAGACUGCAUCGCUAGAAUUGUGGAGAGGUAAGUGGAAUUCCGAGUGUAGAGGUGAAAUUCGUAGAUAUUCGGAAGAACACCAGUGGCGAAGGCGACUUACUGGACACAUAUUGACGCUGAGGUGCGAAAGCGUGGGGAGCAAACAGG
RNAcentral lists this ribosomal RNA (253 nucleotides) under uncultured bacterium. RNAcentral describes it as "partial 16S ribosomal RNA". It matches the Rfam family "Bacterial small subunit ribosomal RNA", at positions 524 to 776 of the family's 1533-position model. The record is from RNAcentral.